Molecule: long non-coding RNA, 910 nt
Organism: Astatotilapia calliptera (eastern happy)
Lineage: Eukaryota; Metazoa; Chordata; Actinopteri; Cichliformes; Cichlidae
Source: Ensembl
GAGAAGGUCCAGUGUUUACUUUCCAAAACCAUGGCUGACUGUUUCAAAGUGACAGCAUGAGUUGUUCUGCAGUAAACUGAACUAACCGACAGAAGGACCCGAGGCUCCACCACACUUUUCUGGCUGUAAAUGUCACGGCUGGCGGAGUGAGCCGUGUGGAGUGGAGGAAAAGGAGGACCCAAAAUGCAGCAAACUGAUGAUACGAGUGAAGUUUAUUUACACGGUGGCAGUGGCAAAAACAGGCAAUGAAGCAUGAGUAAUGACAAACCUAAACUGGGAGAAACUAAAGAGCAAACCUGAAAUCUUACAAAACGGAGAGCGGAGCAGAGAGACGCAGACCAAGGACCAGGAUACCAAGAAACACAGACGAGCCGACCACGAACACAGACCGACACCCACACAAGGAUGUCCUUCAGGAAUGUUACACAAGAGGUCAAAGGAGCAGCCCUGUAUUACUGUGUGGAAGGGAGCCACUCGGGCUCAAAUGCUCUGAUGUCUUUGCGAGACAACAACAAAACAUACUGCUUUUCUUUGACUGGAACUGGACCUUUGUAUAUACAUUGACAACUGCAUAUCAGAAUCAGAAUACUUUAUUAAUCCCUAAGGCAAUUGUGUGGGUUACAGUUGCUCCAAGACAGUAACAGUAACAGACUAAACUAUUUAAAUAAUACAAUAUGGUACAGAGUUUACAAAUGUAAGGAAUAGCACUAAUAUAUACAAAUUGCACAAUUAUACAUACAAUUAUUAAGAAUAUUACAGAGGUGAUUAUACAUAAAUAUCAAGACUCUACCCUGUGAAGUUUGUCAUUUUCUACACACACACACACACACACACACACACACACACACACACACACACACACACACACACACACACACACACUUAACCCAAAGUCCCCUUAAAAUUAAAC